AGUAAGGUUGUGACCAUAGACUAUAUAUUACAUGGACUGCCAACUCUACGCACUAAGCCUAUAUUUUUCAAUAAACAAGUCCCGUUCACGGAGGCGUCCUUGGUUGCGUGGUAAAUUGACUUCCGGUAGAUUUUUUUUUACGUAUAAAGAAACCAUUCUCGAAGAUUUUUACCACCACUUUUACAGCAAAUCAUGAAUGGAAACUGAAUUGUUAAAGAAGAUGUUACAGAGGAGCAUACUACUUCCACAAACCUGAUUUGAUUGUCACUAACUUUCAAAUUGAAAGGGAUCUACUACAACUGCUCAUGAAUUUCGAGAUUUUACAGCUAAUAGAGGAACAAAUUUUAUCGGCUUCCACUUAGCCAAA
Biomphalaria glabrata is the source of this 367-nucleotide long non-coding RNA. RefSeq lists it as uncharacterized. The record is from RefSeq and is a predicted model, not a curated record. NCBI's taxonomy places the organism in Eukaryota, Metazoa, Mollusca, Gastropoda, Planorbidae. The transcript is spliced from 3 exons.